CCUACGGGCGGCAGCAGUGGGGAAUAUUGGGCAAUGGGCGCAAGCCUGACCCAGCAAUGCCGCGUGAAGGAAGAAGGCUUUCGGGUUGUACACUUCUUUGACAGGGGAAGAGCAGAAGACGGUACCCUGAAAACAAGCCACGACUAACUACGUGCCACCAGCCGCGGUAAUACGUAGGUGGCAAGCGUUGUCCGGAUUUACUGGGUGUAAAGGGCGUGUAGCCGGGAAGGCAAGUCAGAUGUGAAAUCUGGAGGCUCAACCUCCAAAUUGCAUUUGAAACUGUUUUUCUUGAGUACUGGAGAGGCAGACGGAAUUCCUUGUGGAGCGGUGAAAUGCGUAGAUAUAAGGAGGAACACCAGUGGCGAAGGCGGUCUGCUGGACAGCAACUGACGGUGAGGCGCGAAAGCGUGGGGAGCAAACAGGAUUAGAUACCCCAGUAGUC
This 442-nucleotide ribosomal RNA is filed under the name uncultured bacterium. Its description in RNAcentral is "partial 16S ribosomal RNA". It matches the Rfam family "Bacterial small subunit ribosomal RNA", at positions 338 to 795 of the family's 1533-position model. The record is from RNAcentral.